CACUGCAAGCGUUGCUGUGCGCGCGCCUGCGGGACGCGAUGCUCGUGCCCGCCGCGAGGUUGCGCGCGUGCGCCGCUCUUCCUGCGGAUUCGACAGGACCGAGAGCGGAGGGAGUCCAACCCGGAGGAGAAUGAACAACAAAUUUGACGCUCUGAAAGAUGACGAUAGCGGAGAUCAUGACCAGGACAAUGGCUCACCGAAAGACAGUGAGAAGGAAAAAACUGAGGAUGAGGAGAAGGACCAAAACACUACCAAGAGGAAGCCUGUGGUUCCUGGCGCAGGGGAACACCCUUUGCAGUAUAACUACACAUUCUGGUACUCUAGGCGAACCCCAGGCAGACCAGCCAGCACACAGAGCUAUGAACAGAACAUCAAACAGAUUGGCAGCUUUGCUUCGGUGGAGCAGUUCUGGCGUUUUUACAGUCACAUGAUCAGACCAGGUGAUCUGACUGGCCACAGUGACUUCCACCUGUUCAAAGAAGGAAUCAAACCCAUGUGGGAGGACGAUGCUAAUAAGAGUGGCGGGAAGUGGAUAAUACGGCUGCGUAAGGGUCUGGCCUCGCGCUGCUGGGAGAAUUUGAUCUUGGCAAUGUUGGGGGAGCAGUUUAUGGUGGGCGAGGAGAUUUGUGGAGCUGUCGUCUCUGUACGAUUCCAGGAGGACAUCAUAUCUAUCUGGAACAAAACCGCAAGUGACCAGGCCACAACUGCUCGCAUCAGAGACACACUGCGACGAGUCCUCAAUCUGCCCCCAAACACCAUCAUGGAGUACAAAACACACACUGACAGCAUCAAGGCCUGGGAGGAUUUCCAUGGUCUCGUAAACGCUAGUGGUGGCCGCUAGCUCUUCAUCAUGUGCAAAAAAUGCAGAGGGGUAGGAGCAGCGUAGCACCCCAGUUUAGUUUACUUUUGUGUGGAUGAAGAGGACAUUUCUACGGGAUAAACUUAUUUAUCAAUUCACCAUUUUAAAAACGAAACAAAAAAUGGACACUUGUGGAGUCUGUUUUAAAUUACCCGAGGAGCUGAAAACCUCUUAGAAUGAGGCUCACGCAGCCAGUGGUUACGCAGCGGGCGUUCCAGAUGACUGCAAGCUCUUUCUUCAACCAGCAGGGGGAGCCUGCAGAAAUGGGCCGCAAAGACUGCAGAUACCGUGGCUCAGACGAAGACUGGUUGACGUGGUGUAUCGUUGUACAGAAGGCACAUUUACCUGAAUUAGCUUGUUAUUCUUAGAAUCUUCAACAAAAUACCCCCUUUAGAAAGAGAGUACUUUUAUUUUACAUUGUAACAAACAGGGUUACAUUUUACUAUAGUGCAGUAUUUUAACUACAGUGUUAAGAAAGAAAUGUCGUUGAAUUUAGAACUUGUACAAAAAAAUAUAUUUCUAAGGUCAUUUGAAGAGGAUGGGAUGUGCUCUUGAUCUUUUUCUGUUUUGAGCUGAGGGUGUUGAAGCCUAAGAGACGUUGCUGCCUAUCGCACUGUGCCUGGCCAGGAGAGGCCUCUGCUGGACUUUGUGACUCCACCAUCCAAGGAGAGUCUGGUGACAUCAAACUUGUCAUCAGGCGCUGUGGCUGUGCUCCACCAUUCUAUCCCCAACCCAAGGGUCAGCUGAACUAGCCUGUGUCUCCUUCACCACGGAGUAGAGCUAAAGAAUGGUGGGGAGUUGGCUCUUGUUUGUCUACAUCUCUUACAUACUGCCUGGAAUUCAGUGAUGGUGCUGAAAGUACUGGUGUUUGAGGUAAUAUUUUGAUUACGAUUGACUAAUGAUAGCAAUAAAUGUUGAAUAUGCAGCUGCUGCUAA
Pygocentrus nattereri (red-bellied piranha) is the source of this 1795-nucleotide RNA transcript. It is a transcript of the gene named eukaryotic translation initiation factor 4E family member 2, with no coding region annotated. The record is from RefSeq and is a predicted model, not a curated record. The transcript has 8 exons. Lineage: Eukaryota; Metazoa; Chordata; Actinopteri; Characiformes; Serrasalmidae.